Molecule: ribosomal RNA, 433 nt
Filed under: uncultured bacterium
Lineage: Bacteria
Description: partial 16S ribosomal RNA
Rfam family: Bacterial small subunit ribosomal RNA
Source: RNAcentral
AACGAACGCUGGCGGCAUGCCUAACACAUGCAAGUCGAACGAUGCCUUCGGGCAUAGUGGCGCACGGGUGCGUAACGCGUGGGAAUCUGCCUUUCGGUUCGGAAUAACUCAGGGAAACUUGAGCUAAUACCGGAUAACGUCGCAAGACCAAAGAUUUAUCACCGAAAGAUGAGCCCGCGUAGGAUUAGCUAGUUGGUGAGGUAAAGGCUCACCAAGGCGACGAUCCUUAGCUGGUCUGAGAGGAUGAUCAGCCACACUGGGACUGAGACACGGCCCAGACUCCUACGGGAGGCAGCAGUGGGGAAUAUUGGACAAUGGGCGAAAGCCUGAUCCAGCAAUGCCGCGUGAGUGAUGAAGGCCUUAGGGUUGUAAGGCUCUUUUACCCGGGAAGAUAAUGACGGUACCGGGAGAAUAAGCCCCGGCUAACUCCGUG